This 854-nucleotide ribosomal RNA is filed under the name uncultured Bacteroidales bacterium. RNAcentral's name for it is "bacterial SSU rRNA". It matches the Rfam family "Bacterial small subunit ribosomal RNA", at positions 28 to 877 of the family's 1533-position model. The record is from RNAcentral. Lineage: Bacteria; Pseudomonadati; Bacteroidota; Bacteroidia; Bacteroidales.
GAUGAACGCUAGCUACAGGCUUAACACAUGCAAGUCGAGGGGCAGCAUUGGGGUAGCAAUACUUCAGAUGGCGACCGGCGCACGGGUGAGUAACACGUAUCCAACCUGCCGCUUACUCGGGGAUAGCCUUUCGAAAGAAAGAUUAAUACCCGAUGGUAUAAAGAGUUCGCAUGUUCUCUUUAUUAAAGAAUUUCGGUAAGCGAUGGGGAUGCGUUCCAUUAGAUUGUUGGCGGGGUAACGGCCCACCAAGUCUACGAUGGAUAGGGGUUCUGAGAGGAAGGUCCCCCACAUUGGAACUGAGACACGGUCCAAACUCCUACGGGAGGCAGCAGUGAGGAAUAUUGGUCAAUGGACGAGAGUCUGAACCAGCCAAGUAGCGUGAAGGAUGACUGCCCUAUGGGUUGUAAACUUCUUUUAUAAGGGAAUAAAGUGAGGGACGUGUCCCUUUUUGUAUGUACCUUAUGAAUAAGGAUCGGCUAACUCCGUGCCAGCAGCCGCGGUAAUACGGAGGAUCCAAGCGUUAUCCGGAUUUAUUGGGUUUAAAGGGAGCGUAGGUUGACAUAUAAGUCAGCUGUGAAAGUUUACGGCUCAACCGUGAAGUUGCAGUUGAUACUGUAUGUCUUGAGUGUACAAGAGGUGGGCGGAAUUCGUGGUGUAGCGGUGAAAUGCUUAGAUAUCACGAAGAACUCCAAUUGCGAAGGCAGCUCACUGGGGUACAACUGACACUGAGGCUCGAAAGUGUGGGUAUCAAACAGGAUUAGAUACCCUGGUAGUCCACACAGUAAACGAUGAAUACUCGCUGUUUGCGAUAUACAGUAAGCGGCCAAGCGAAAGCAUUAAGUAUUCCACCUGGG